RNAcentral lists this long non-coding RNA (304 nucleotides) under Mustela putorius furo (domestic ferret). RNAcentral describes it as "lncRNA (ENSMPUG00000029715.1)". Lineage: Eukaryota; Metazoa; Chordata; Mammalia; Carnivora; Mustelidae. The record is from RNAcentral.
UUAUAGGAACUAUGUAAGUACUUGGGAAGGUUUGUUUAUUAAACAACGAAUGUACUUAAAGGAAAGGAGAGAAUUGGGGGAGAGGGGCAGAGAGAGAAUCAAACAGGUUUCAUGCCCAGUGCAAAGCUCCAUCUCAACAUCUGAAGUUCAUGACCUGAGCUGAAAUCAAGAGUCAGAUACUUAACCAACUGAGCCACUCAGGUGCCCCUUUUCUAAUUUCUUAAAAAAUUAGAGCUACUUAGAAAUUAAGGCUACUUAGAGAACUGAUUUUAAGUCUUUAUUCUUUCCAAAUAUAUGUAGUUUA